This 404-nucleotide ribosomal RNA is filed under the name uncultured bacterium. RNAcentral's name for it is "bacterial SSU rRNA". It matches the Rfam family "Bacterial small subunit ribosomal RNA", at positions 28 to 416 of the family's 1533-position model. The record is from RNAcentral.
GACGAACGCUGGCGGCGUGCUUAACACAUGCAAGUCGAGCGGCAGCGGGUCCCCGCGAGGGGAUGCCGGCGAGCGGCGGACGGGUGAGGAACACAUCGGAAUCUGCCUGGUUGUGGGGGAUAAUGUAGGGAAACUUACGCUAAUACCGCAUGAGACCCUGAGUCGACGGACUGGGGGUGAAAGUGAGGGACCUUCGGGCCUCACGCGACCAGAUGAGCCGAUGUCGGAUUAGCUAGUUGGCGGGGUAACGGCCCGCCAAGGCGACGAUCCGUAGCUGGUCUGAGAGGAUGAUCAGCCACACUGGGACUGAGACACGGCCCAGACUCCUACGGGAGGCAGCAGUGGGAAUCUUGCGCAAGUGGGCGAAAGCCUGACGCAGCGACGCCGCGUGAGGGAUGACGGCC